This 602-nucleotide ribosomal RNA is filed under the name uncultured bacterium. Its description in RNAcentral is "bacterial SSU rRNA". It matches the Rfam family "Bacterial small subunit ribosomal RNA", at positions 338 to 954 of the family's 1533-position model. The record is from RNAcentral.
CCUACGGGAGGCAGCAGUGGGGAAUAUUGGACAAUGGGCGAAAGCCUGAUCCAGCAAUGCCGCGUGAGUGAUGAAGGCCUUAGGGUUGUAAAGCUCUUUUACCCGGGAAGAUAAUGACUGUACCGGGAGAAUAAGCCCCGGCUAACUCCGUGCCAGCAGCCGCGGUAAUACGGAGGGGGCUAGCGUUAUUCGGAAUUACUGGGCGUAAAGCGUACGUAGGCGGUGGUUCAAGUCAGAGGUGAAAGCCCGGAGCUCAACUCCGGAACUGCCUUUGAAACUAGAUCGCUAGAACAUCGGAGAGGUAAGUGGAAUUCCGAGUGUAGAGGUGAAAUUCGUAGAUAUUCGGAAGAACACCAGUGGCGAAGGCGGCUUACUGGACGAUUGUUGACGCUGAGGUACGAAAGCGUGGGGAGCAAACAGGAUUAGAUACCCUGGUAGUCCACGCCGUAAACGAUGAUAACUAGCUGUUGGGCCUCAUAGAGGCUCAGUGGCGCAGCUAACGCAUUAAGGUUAUCCGCCUGGGGAUACGGUCGCAAAGAUUUAAAAACCUCAAAAUGAAUAGUACGGCGNGAGACGNGCGACGACGACGACGAGGAAGGAGG